UGAACUUACUGUUUAGUUUGUCCAGGAGAGGCUCAUAUUCUGAGAUUUUAAGCUUUCGGCUCAUGAGAGGAAGACCAAGAUAACGGAUUGGCAGUGAACCAGCGGUGAAUCCAUAGCUGUCCAUAGAGUUUGAUUCAAUCUGGUUCACUCCCGCCUUGAACAGCUGAGUCUUUGCCGCAUUUAUUCUCAGAUCAGACCAGGAGGCAAAAUCAUCUAAGGCCUCGUUAACUCCGUGAAGUGAAGAACUUUCACCAUCAAAAAAUAUCAUGAC
This 271-nucleotide long non-coding RNA is filed under the name Brassica napus (rape). RNAcentral describes it as "long non-coding RNA (BNAP_LNC022614)". The record is from RNAcentral. Lineage: Eukaryota; Viridiplantae; Streptophyta; Magnoliopsida; Brassicales; Brassicaceae.